UUUAGAAUCUUUUCAGAAUUGGAUAUUCUGAAAACUAACAAUUAUAAUCUCUAGUGUGAUUAGUGACCAAACAAGUUGAGAAUUUCAAGUUUCAAGGAUAUUUAGAGGCCUACAUGCAACAGUUAAAAGCUUAACCUUAAGAAGCAUUCUACCGAGGACAAAUGAAUUUCAUUAGAUGAGUAGAAAAAACAACCACGACAAUUUAAAUAAAUAAAAAGAAGAGGCAAAGAAAGGCUAGUCCAGAAGCAAAGAAUGUUUAAACCAACUGUAAAGGAAUAAAUAAAAGGAGGAUGACUGGAGG
Long non-coding RNA from Telopea speciosissima, 301 nucleotides. RefSeq lists it as uncharacterized. The transcript has 2 exons. Lineage: Eukaryota; Viridiplantae; Streptophyta; Magnoliopsida; Proteales; Proteaceae. The record is from RefSeq and is a predicted model, not a curated record.